Molecule: ribosomal RNA, 775 nt
Filed under: uncultured Neocallimastigales
Lineage: Eukaryota; Fungi; Neocallimastigomycota; Neocallimastigomycetes; Neocallimastigales
Description: partial large subunit ribosomal RNA
Rfam family: Eukaryotic large subunit ribosomal RNA
Source: RNAcentral
UAUCUCUGUAGAGUCUGCAUAUCAAUAAGCGGAGGAAAAGAAACUAACAAGGAUUCCCUUAGUAACGGCGAGUGAAGCGGGAAGAGCUCAAAUUUGAAAUCUUCAAGGUUUUACCUUGACGAAUUGUAGUUUAAAGAAGUGUUUUCUGUUGGUGUUUUGGUAAAAGUUCUUUGGAAUAGGACAUCAUAGAGGGUGAGAAUCCCGUAUUUGACCAUUAUUUCCAGCUUUGUGAUACACUUUCAAAGAGUCGGAUUGUUUGGGAAUGCAGUCCAAAAUGGGUGGUAAAUUUCAUCUAAAGCUAAAUACUGGCGAGAGACCGAUAGCGAACAAGUACCGUGAGGGAAAGAUGAAAAGAACUUUGAAAAGAGAGUUUAAACAGUACGUGAAAUUGUCAAAAGGGAAGCGUUUGACACCAGUGUUGUUUUCUCGAAAAUCAGUUAAAAAGGGCAGGAUUUUGUGUUGUAUUGACUUUAUCAGCUUUCUGCACUCUUUUCUUGUCUUUUUUAAUGCACUUUUCGUUUAACAAGUCAACAUCAAUUUCUUUUGUUGUAAAAGAGUCAUUGGAAGGUGGCUUUCACUUCGGUGAAAGUGUUUAUAGCCUUUGGCUUCUGCAAUCGGAGAGAUUGAGGUCUGCAGCGUAGAUCCUUCGGGGCUAGAUGCGUAGACGCUAAGUUAUAGUUUUUUAUAGACAACUUGUUGACUAUAAUUAAUCAUGUAGCUUACUCGUUUGCGCUAUUUUACCUACGCUUAGGAUGUUGAAGAUGUAGCACAUCAU